AGGUUUGCAGGGAUAAACAUAAGCAGCCUCGGAUUUGGCAGGAUGUUAGUCAUGUCAAGGGGUGAGAUGACGUGCAAGCCUGCCUUCUUUGUGUUUAGAAGUUUCUUUUUGUGCUUAAAAACGCCCCCUCGCAUAUGGUGAAUGAUCUUCCGUUAAAGCUCCAAGGUUUUGUCCUCGAAAUUAGUCAAAGGCAAAUAUAAAUAACACAAAGGCUUAAGAAGUUGGAAGGAACUCAGAGUAAUCAAAGUGAAAUUUCGAAUCUCAUUCAUGAUGUCGCAACUAUAUUAAACUACAGAUACAAAGAGUUUCCUUGGCUUUGGCUGUGGCUGUGGCUAGCUGAAGAGUAAAAGAAAUAGAAAUGAUGAUUGCCAUUUGCACAAAACUAAAAAAUGUAAGUCAUAGUCAUGUUACUCUUUCAUUGCCAUUUGUAAACUCAGUUUUUCUUUGAUUGCGAAAGCGGCUGGUGUACACUCACAUGGAGUGGUUCUCAUGUAAAUAUUCCCACUUCAUAGUUUUUGAUUUAGUUUUAUAAUGUUUUUAUA
This is a long non-coding RNA of Helianthus annuus (common sunflower), 542 nucleotides long. RefSeq lists it as uncharacterized. Lineage: Eukaryota; Viridiplantae; Streptophyta; Magnoliopsida; Asterales; Asteraceae. The transcript is spliced from 2 exons. The record is from RefSeq and is a predicted model, not a curated record.